Long non-coding RNA from Cucumis sativus (cucumber), 2177 nucleotides. RefSeq lists it as uncharacterized. The record is from RefSeq and is a predicted model, not a curated record. NCBI's taxonomy places the organism in Eukaryota, Viridiplantae, Streptophyta, Magnoliopsida, Cucurbitales, Cucurbitaceae. The transcript is spliced from 2 exons.
UUUUACAUACAAGCAAAGACAAAAAAUUCGUUCUACACAAAUAGAGAAUACAAAGAGUUGAAGUUCUCACUUUGUGAGGUUCUAGUAGACCCAAACUCGAGGAGUCAAAUUUCCAGUUUGUGUGUGGAUACUAUCAGAGAACGCUUGUAAUUUCGCAACGUUUUGUUGAUACGAAUUUGGAGGAUCAUCCUUAUCAGAACAAGGUAAUUCGAAUUUGGAACAUCGACAUAGAGGUAUGUUUAUUCGUGAUUUAAUUAUUUAUGUACGGUCAGUUUACAUUCUAAAGAUUAGAAAAAAAAAUUAUGUUAAUUCUGCUACAUUUAGCUCUAGUUCUAGUUUGUUUUCCAGCAUUAGCGAUCGUUGUGACAUCUUGAUAUGUGAAGAUAACUGGGGGACAUCUAUCGUUGUUUCAGAACAAAUUGAAGUGGAGAAAGCGUGUAAUCUCUGGGAUUGAGUUAUGACUGUGAUUUUCCUAAGGCUACAUGAAUACGUUUUCAUAGCGCCACCUAUGGUUGUCAGAGAAAUCCAAGGCUGAAAGAGGUUGUGACCGAAGAUCCAAGAACCUGAACCUAGGAGAGGACAUGGAUGAAGGAUGUGAUUUUGGCUUCGCACCUAGCUUAACCCAUUAUGGGUGGCUCUAAUAUGCACGUAGGAGCAUAUAUGGAGGUUGUUACUAUGGUAGGUGCUAAGUAUGUGUGAGCUCAUUUUGGCAGUGUGUUUCCUUGUGGAUAUGGAUCACGUGUGAGCUAUUCUUGAUCGUGUGUUUAGUAUGCUACCAUGGUUGAAUUGGAUGGAGGUUGUUACUAUGGUAGGUGCUAAGUAUGUGUGAGUUCAGUUUGGUUGUGUGUUUCCUUGUGGAUAUGGAUCACGUGUGAGCUAUUCUCGACCAUGUAUUUAGUAUGCUAUCAUGGUUAGAUUGGAUGGAGGUUGUUUCUGUGGUAGAUGCUAAAUAUAUGUAAGCUUAGUUUGACCAUGUGUUUCCUUGUGGAUAUGGAUACGUGUGAGCUAUUCUCAGUCGUGUAUCUAAUAUUCUACCAUGGAUGGAUUGGGUACAGGUUUGUUGGCAUUAUUUGUAUUAUGUGAUGAUAAUGUUUUAAAUUAUUACUUCAUUAUUGAUGCAUAUUUACACAUUCUUAGAGCAUGUUUUAUGAGUCUUUAUUUUUAAAAAAAUGUCACUCACUGAGUUUUUAGCUCACAUUAUCAAUGUUUUCUUUCUCCCAAGUUGCGGUCAAGGACCAAGCAUUGGUUGAACCCUCCGUGACCAUUUGUAGAUCUUCGUUUUUGUAUGUAUAGUUAACUUUUGUAUUGCAUCAUGGGGUGGUCAGAUGUAGCGAGAGUGACACUAAUGACUCAUGUUUUAAGGGAUCUCUCAUUAGACUGUAAUCAUUUUGUAUGCUUAUUUGAAUUUUAACUCUGCUUGAAACUCUGGAAUCGUCUGGAUGAGAGUGUGUAAAACACAUUUGUUGUGAUGUGGAAUCUGAAGUUUGCUUAUAUGCAUAUAGAAGUGAAAAUCUCUUCAUUUUCAGGUUUGGCUAACCCAUAUUUUACUAGAGAUGCUGCCAAAGUUUUUGUAGAAUAUCAUAAUAUGUGUUUCAUAGAAGUUUAAGUUGGAAAAAGUUUUUUUCAAAAGUGUUUUCAUGCCACGAUCUAGAUUAGAGAGGAAAAUCUAUAACAAAGUGUGACGGGUGAGGCGUAACUCGGUGAGCCAGAGAGUCAGAGUUGAGUCUAGGGGAAGCUAGCCCUAAACGCGGUCUGCUUAGAGAGAAAGAGUUUAAGUGAUUCUACUGUGUUAAUUUCUUCAGUGGUUUUCGCUGUAAAACAGGUCAAGGUCUCUAAAGCUAGAGUGGAAGAGCUUCAAUAAGAGAGGAGAGAAAGACUUGUUCCACUCACUAGGUGUUCAACACGUUAUCUCACAAGAGAUAUGCGUCGAAUGUCUAGGCGGAACACCCUUCAUUUGGUCACAUGGUCUGACAUUUAAGGCGGGGCAUGACAUAAAUUUUGUUUAUUGGUUGGAUCGUAAAUAGAUUAUUUAUUAGAGAAUCCAUGGUACCUAAGAAGCAACAGGUAAUUUUAGGGAUAAAACAAAAAUUUGACCAAACUGUAAUUAAAAAAUAAAACUUAUGAAGGAUUGACUUACGUGAAAUGGUCAAAUUAAUUGACACAUAAACAUUUUGCAA